UUUCAUGUGAUGACACAACCACAGUCCUGAAGGAGACGAAGCACAGUGAAACGCACUUUACCCUCUGCAACUCGUGGACAAUACUGCGGGAGAAGCCGAGACCAAGAGACAGCACAACCAGAUUCUAAAUUACAAGUUCCCUCUCUCAUUCUUUUUCCUCUACUUUCCCACUGUAAAUAACUGCGUUGAAUAAAUUUCAGAAAAGUGGCUCUGUUGUUAUUAUUUUAUUUUCCACUGACAACCUUCAACACAAAGGUACAUACAAAAACAAAACAAAACAAAAACAUUAAGACGGAGGGAGAGAACAGCGUGGGAAGCGAAGCGCGCGAUAAAGCAGCUUCACCUUCAGGUGAGGGAGAAAGCCGUACGAGAGAGCACAGUGUGACCACUGUCACAGCGACACAGACUGAUGCCGCUCUUGUUCAGACUCCUCCUUUUGGGUGACACUCCAUGUUCCUCUAAAUCUGAGCCAGAAGCUUCUCUCAUUAGAUGACACAACCACAGUCCAUUCCACCUGCUUCUCUCUAAUGCUGAGUGCGCUCUGAGCCUUUUCCAGACGAGGAAACGGAGCGUUAUGAGCUGAGUGUGGCCCUCCUCCUCGUUUGACCACUGACAGUCUAUGUAACUACUGAAAAGAAGAACAAGGAGUCUUGUAGUCAUGUGGGAUUACAUGAGGAGACAGAGGACACUGAGAAGGCCUAAAUCCACUGAAGAACUGUGGCAGCUUCUCUAAAAUGCCUUGAACAAGCUCCUUGACAAAUACCUUGAAAAACUGUGCACAACUGUACUGAGGAGAACUGGUGCUGGUUUAGAGGCAAAGUGUGGUCACAGAAAAUAUUAACAUGAUUAAGGCUUUUCUAUUUAAUGCAUUUCAUAUGUUUUUGAAUGAUAAAUGCAGACUAUUUGGGGUCUUAUUUUUGAAAGCAUCCUCAAAUUUCUUCACAAGGGCUUACAGCUUUUACACAGUAUUCUGUAAUGUAUUUAUGCAAAUUAUUUUAAGAACUUUUGACCAAAUAAUUUCCCCCAACAAACAGAGACCCUGGCUUAUAGGUGCCCCCUGACCCAUUGGCCUCCUGUUUCUAAUAGCCCCAUAAAAUGACCCAUCCAUGAACACAGAUCUGACCCCACUACAGUUUAAGUUCCUGUCCUCUUGGCUUGGCAGUGCCCAUUUGACGGGCUGACUGUAAAAAUGAUCCAGUGUACAAUAACCAUUGUGUUUCUGCAUGUUGCAGUGACCACCUGUAGCACCAACCCACACACUCUGUGCUUGUUUCACACUGAAGGUAAAAUCUUUUCAUUGAUGAAUACAUUUCAUAAAAGCUUCACUGGGUCAUGUUUAUAUUUAAAUGAAUGUUGCUGUGAUAGUUGCUUCACAUACUGAACUCUUGAAGAAAAACAGACUCAGAACUUAGAAUUAGAAGUUUAGAACUUUGAAUUGUUCAUGACAUCAUAUGGUGCUAUAGAACAUCAUGCCACAUAAAAAGAGCAUAAGAGGUGGAAUCUGCACAUUUACCAAGUUCAAGUCAAGAAGAAACAGACCUGAAUUGUGAUCAGAUCUACAACUUUCCUACGACGAACAUUAACCGUGUGAGACGACACAGAGCGAUGGAUACCUCAAGUUCAUCAUCGUCUUCUUACUCCCCUGAGCCAAUCCCCCGACACUGGCUCCCAAUCCCCAGGAACUACAAGUUUCUAAAAGUUCUGGGACAAGGUGGCUACGGGACUGUUGUCAAAUGUGUAAAACAGCAAACCGGAGAGAUCAGGGCCAUAAAGUACGCCUAUUACGAUGAUGACCUCUGCCGAAAAGCCUACAUCAUGAGAUUCCUAACAAGCCACAACCUCGACAAGUUCAACAAGUCAAAUAUUAUAGUGAGCUCAUCACUUGCGGACAGAUGAGCCUGGUAUAUGAAAUGUUAGACAUUAACCUGCAGAAUUACCUCCUGGAUCUACAAGGCCCAAUGCGUCUUCAGGAUAUCAGGACUAUUAUUCAGCAGUUGGCAACAGCUUUUGACGCCCUGAAGAGAGUUGGCCUGAUCCACUCUGAUGUAAAAACCAACAACAUCAUGAUGGUGGAUCAUGCAAGUCAGCCCUUCAGGGUCAAAUGAUCGACUUUGGCUUGGCUAUUUUCAGAUCGCAAGCCAAGCCGGGCAGGAUUCAACAUACACCACAAUAUAGAGCACCAGAAAUCACGCUGGGACUAGCAUUUUCAGAGGCCUCUGACAUCUGGUCGCUGGGCUGUGUAAUGGCCAUCAUGGUCUUUGGCGUCAUGCUCUUCCCAGCUAGAAAUGAAUAUGAUGCACUCCAACACAUCACCGACCUCCUCGGUCCGCCACCUGAGCAUCUGAUCAGUGCUGGGAUGAGAUCUCAUCUUUUUUAUGAAAAACAAGAUUCUGGCAAGUGGAUCAUCAAGUGAUAAACCACAAGCAAGCGGCAACAAGACCAAGACCAGGAUGGAGACAGCCCAGGAGGAUGAUAAUGAACCCCUGCCAUUGGGUGUCAUCAUGGUGCGGGAAGCACGCCCCGAGAACAGAAUAUCCCUGGAAGAGACAUCUGAGGAGGACCGUGAUGUGAGGUGUAGAUGCUUUACCAGACAAAGGAUUUCAGUGAUGACAGAGAAGACGUGUUUGAUCCAGACCAGAUGAGAAGGAUGGAUGACCACAGGACAAACUGGAGAGAGUCGUGUGUCUUCAGCGGUUCUGGAGCAACUGAGAGUGGACAGCAACCACUGUCAGCAGCCUGUAUCGCUCCAGGCACCAAACACAGUCUGAAGAGCCAGUGAGUACCAUGUUGACCUCCCUGCCCCUCCACCCCAACACCACCUCUACAGUUAAUUCGUAGAGACUGGAAGUAUUAAUUUGUUUGUUUUGCAUUUAACUUAAUAAUGAAUUCAAUAAAAUAGUCACAAACGAAACAACAGUGUUUUUGAAG
Lates calcarifer (barramundi perch) is the source of this 2928-nucleotide long non-coding RNA. RefSeq lists it as uncharacterized. NCBI's taxonomy places the organism in Eukaryota, Metazoa, Chordata, Actinopteri, Centropomidae. The record is from RefSeq and is a predicted model, not a curated record. The transcript has 10 exons.